CGGCGCAUGUCUACCAUGCAGUCGACGGCAGCACGUUAAGAGCUUGCUCUUACGGGUGGCGAGUGGCGGACGGGUGAGGAAUACAUCGGAAUCUACUUUUUCGUGGGGGAUAACAUAGGGAAACUUACGCUAAUACCGCAUACUACCUACGGGUGAAAGCAGGGGAUCUUCGGACCUUGCGCGAUUGAAUGAGCCGAUGUCGGAUUAGCUAUUUGGCGGGGUAAAGGCCCACCAAGGCGACGAUCCGUAGCUGGUCUGAGAGGAUGAUCAGCCACACUGGAACUGAGACACGGUCCAGACUCCUACGGGAGGCAACAGUGGGGAAUAUUGGACAAUGGGCGCAAGCCUGAUCCAGCCAUACCGCGUGGGUGAAGAAGGCCUUCGGGUUGUAAAGCCCUUUUGUUGGGAAGGAAAUCCAGCCGGCUAAUACCUGGUUGGGAUGACGGUACCCAAAGAAUAAGCACCGGGCCAACUUCGUGCCAGCAGCCGCGGUAAUACAAAGGGUGCAAGCGUUACUCGGAAUUACUGGGCGUAAAGCGUGCGUAGGUGGUCGUUUAAGUCUGUCGUGAAAGCCCUGGGCUCAGCUGUGAACUGCAGUGGAAACUGGACGACUAGAGUGUGGUAGAGGGUAGCGUGAUUCCUGGUGUAGCAGUGAAAUGCGUAGAGAUCAGGAGGAACAUCCAUGGCCCAUGGCACCUACCUGGACCAACACUGACACUGCGCACGAAAGCGUGGGAAGCAAACACGAUUAGAUACCCUGCUAGUCCACUCCCUAAACGAUGCUAACUGGUAUGUUGUCUGCAAUUUCGACACUCACUAUCGAAGCUGCCCCCUAGUAGCCCGCCUGGGGAGUACGGUCCCAGACUGAUAACUCAGAGAAAUUU
Molecule: ribosomal RNA, 884 nt
Filed under: uncultured bacterium
Lineage: Bacteria
Description: bacterial SSU rRNA
Rfam family: Bacterial small subunit ribosomal RNA
Source: RNAcentral